Molecule: long non-coding RNA, 235 nt
Organism: Elgaria multicarinata webbii
Lineage: Eukaryota; Metazoa; Chordata; Lepidosauria; Squamata; Anguidae
Exons: 3
Source: RefSeq, a predicted model, not a curated record
AUUUUAUCUGCUACCGAGCUUUGGAGCGGCCCCGGUGCCAUGGAGCAACACAAGGCUGAAAGCUAGAAGCGUCUGGAUGAAGCUGCUCCCUGGCGAAUGAGCCAACAACACUUAUGGAAGGCCCGGUUCAUUUUGAAGAACACCUGGAAUAGAAGCUCCCUCGGCACCAGAUAUGGACGCAGGAUGCUGCCUCGGCUGGGUUGGCUGAAAACUACAUGGACAUUUUACUCUGCUC